RNAcentral lists this transfer RNA (83 nucleotides) under Saccharomyces cerevisiae (brewer's yeast). RNAcentral's name for it is "tRNA-Ser". The record is from RNAcentral. Lineage: Eukaryota; Fungi; Ascomycota; Saccharomycetes; Saccharomycetales; Saccharomycetaceae.
AACUCCUUCGGGGUUCGGUCCCCCUCCCGUUAGAAUAGGGAGGGGUCCCUCACUCCUCCGGGGUCCGCCCCCCCGCGGGGCGG